This is a small nucleolar RNA of Protopterus annectens (West African lungfish), 183 nucleotides long. RefSeq annotates it as small nucleolar RNA SNORA23. The transcript has a single exon. The record is from RefSeq and is a predicted model, not a curated record. NCBI's taxonomy places the organism in Eukaryota, Metazoa, Chordata, Ceratodontiformes, Protopteridae.
UGUGUGUGUGUGCGUGUGUGUGUCUGUGUGUGUGUGUGUGUGUGUGUGUGUGUGUACACACACAGACACACACACACACACACACACACACACACACACACACACACACACACACACACCCACAUAGGUUCAUAGGUUGGUAAUAGGCUAUCGACCCUGGGGCCUAUACAAGCCUAGCCAUAA